GUGCAUAGGGUGUUCCACUGUUUGCGGCAAUUCUGCGCAGGUUUUGUGCAGAAAGAUAUGGUCACAACCACCUUGACUACUACUACUAUUGCAAGUAUAAAGCUGCCUUUGGUUAUUGUUGUAUUGCACCCAUAGCAAACAACAUCUGCCUGAGCAUGAUUUUUACUGAGCUCAAUAAGGAUCAGUGGAUGUUCAUGGCUAAAGUGGUUCAGCUGCUCCAUCUCACUACUUGAAUGUGGUUGUGAGAGAAAACUCUAGGGAGAGAAAGAGAAGGAUAUCGGAUGAGUUCUUGGAGGGGUAAAGGGAUUAGAUGUGAAAAAAAUUAAAUAGAUGGAAAAAUAAUUUAUUGGUGUGAGGUGGGCGAAGGAGAAGGGAAGUCUUGAAAGGUUGAUUAUUGCUGGGUUUGGCCGCCGGACAAGCCCUCACGCGCGGGAGCCAUCAGAUCUGACUUUUCGUGGGGAAUCCUUUUCUGAUGUUAGUAGUAGUUAGUGGGUGGGAAAUCCUUUUCUGAUUUUUAUUAUUUGAAAUUGAUAUUUUCACAUUAUUUUUUUGAUAUUUUUAUAUGUAGAGUUUACAUAUUAGUUGAUGUGUCAAAUUUUUAUUAGUAUGUGGG
Molecule: long non-coding RNA, 613 nt
Filed under: Panax ginseng (ginseng)
Lineage: Eukaryota; Viridiplantae; Streptophyta; Magnoliopsida; Apiales; Araliaceae
Description: long non-coding RNA (PGIN_LNC002784)
Source: RNAcentral